AUGGCAAGAGGGAGAAGACAAAAUCGAUACAUGAAGAAACUGUUCAUCCUUCGAGGUUUGCCAGGAGUUGGAAAGACAACGAUGGCAGAAAAACUCUGGGACAAACAUGCAAGACUUGGACUGAAAGGAGAAAUUUUCUCCGCUGACAGGUACCAUGAAAGAACCAACUACACCAAAGGAAACUUUCAACGCAGCCAUCAGCAGAAUAGAGAGGAUGUUUUUAAAGCCAUGAACAGAGGUGUGGAUCCGAUCAUCGUUGACAACACAAACAUUUCUCUUUGGGAGAUGUGGCCCUAUAUCCACAUGGGGAUUGGACAGAAGAACUAUUACAUCAGAAUGAUGGAACUGCCUAAAAUCUCCAUCAACAAGCUGUACAGACGGUGUCGUGGUAAAAUCCCCAAACGUAAGUUCAGGUCCUUUGAGGUUCGCUGGAAAAAAGCUGACAGCAUCUGGCAUGUACUUAACGACGGCUACUCCAAAAAACGCUGGAAGAGAAGCAAAGAGGAAUGGAACGUCCAGUGAUGAAGACAUGCUGGUCUUCUCCCCACCCCAAAGUCUCCAAAAUACGGAACAAAUUCACCGGGGUGGCAGGGUAGCCUAGUGGUUAGAGCGUUGGACUAGUAACCGGAAGGUUGCAAGUUCAAACCCCCGAGCUUAACAGGCAGUUAACCCACUGUUCCUAGGCCGUCAUUGAAAAUAAGAAUGUGUUCUUAACUGACUUGCCUAGUUAAAUAAAGGUAAAAUAAAAAAAGAAAACGUACAGUAUUAUUAUAGAGCCCUUAUUGCAUGGAACUUCCUUCCAUCUCAUAUUGCUCAAAUAAACAGCAAACCUGGUUUCAAAAAACAGUUAAAGCAACACUUCUCGGCACAACGCCGAGAGGUAUUUGACCUAGAUAGUUUGUGUGUAUGCAUUGAUAUGUAGGCCACGUGUGCCUUUAAAAAAAAUGUCUGUCCUUGAGCUGUUCUUGUCUAAUGAUGUUCUGUAUUAUGUAAUUCUGUAUUAUGUCAUUCUAUAUGAUGUCAUUCUGUAUGAUGUCAUUCUGUAUUAUGUCAUUCUGUAUUAUGUCAUUCUAU
This 1074-nucleotide long non-coding RNA is filed under the name Oncorhynchus mykiss (rainbow trout). RNAcentral's name for it is "lncRNA (ENSOMYG00000028080.2)". Lineage: Eukaryota; Metazoa; Chordata; Actinopteri; Salmoniformes; Salmonidae. The record is from RNAcentral.